GACGAACGUUGGCGGCGUGCUUAACACAUGCAAGUCGAACGGAAAGGCCCUGCUUUUGUGGGGUGCUCGAGUGGCGAACGGGUGAGUAACACGUGAGUAACCUGCCCUUGACUUUGGGAUAACUUCAGGAAACUGGGGCUAAUACCGGAUAGGAGCUCCUGCUGCAUGGUGGGGGUUGGAAAGUUUCGGCGGUUGGGGAUGGACUCGCGGCUUAUCAGCUUGUUGGUGGGGUAGUGGCUUACCAAGGCUUUGACGGGUAGCCGGCCCGAGAGGGUGACCGGCCACAUUGGGACUGAGAUACGGCCCAGACUCCUACGGGAGGCAGCAGUGGGGAAUAUUGCACAAUGGGCGGAAGCCUGAUGCAGCAACGCCGCGUGCGGGAUGACGGCCUUCGGGUUGUAAACCGCUUUCGCCUGUGACGAAGCGUGAGUGACGGUAAUGGGUAAAGAAGCACCGGCUAACUACGUG
Molecule: ribosomal RNA, 468 nt
Filed under: uncultured bacterium
Lineage: Bacteria
Description: partial 16S ribosomal RNA
Rfam family: Bacterial small subunit ribosomal RNA
Source: RNAcentral